GACGAACGCUGGCGGCGUGCUUAACACAUGCAAGUCGAACGGAAAGGCCCUGCUUUUGUGGGGUGCUCGAGUGGCGAACGGGUGAGUAACACGUGAGUAACCUGCCCUUGACUUUGGGAUAACUUCAGGAAACUGGGGCUAAUACCGGAUAGGAGCUCCUGCUGCAUGGUGAGGGUUGGAACGUUUCGGCGGGUGGGGAUGGACUCGCGGCUUAUCAGCUUGUUGGUGGGGGAGUGGCUUACCAAGGCUUUGACGGGUAGCCGGCCUGAGAGGGUGACCGGCCACAUUGGGACUGAGAUACGGACCAGACUGCUAUGGGAGGCAGCAGUGGGGAAUAUUGCACAAUGGGCGGAAGCCUGAUGCAGCAACGCCGCGUGUGGGAUGCCGGCCUUCGGGGUGUAAACAGCUUUCGCCUGUGACGAAGCUUUAGUGACGGUAAUGGGUGAAGAAGCACCGGCUAACUACGUG
RNAcentral lists this ribosomal RNA (468 nucleotides) under uncultured bacterium. RNAcentral's name for it is "partial 16S ribosomal RNA". It matches the Rfam family "Bacterial small subunit ribosomal RNA", at positions 28 to 507 of the family's 1533-position model. The record is from RNAcentral.